AUUGAACGCUGGCGGAAUGCUUUACACAUGCAAGUCGAACGGCAGCACGGACUUCGGUCUGGUGGCGAGUGGCGAACGGGUGAGUAACAUAUCGGAACGUAUCCAAUAAUGGGGGAUAACUAAUCGAAAGGUUGGCUAAUACCGCAUACGCCCUACGGGGGAAAGCAGGGGAUCUGCGGACCUCGCGUUAAUGGACAGGCGGAUAUCUGAUUAGCUAGUUGGUGAGGUAAAGGCUGACCAAGGGGACGAUCAGUAGCUGGUCUGGGAGGACGACCAGCCACACUGGAACUGAGACACGGUCCAGACUCCUACGGGAGGCAGCAGUGGGGAAUUUUGGACAAUGGGCGCAAGCCUGAUCCAGCCAUUCCGCGUGAGUGAAGAAGGCCUUCGGGUUGUAAAGCUCUUUCGCAAGGGAAGAAAACUUACUUUCUAAUAAAGAGUGAGGUUGACGGUACCUUGAUAAGAAGCACCGGCUAACUACGUGCCAGCAGCCGCGGUAA
Molecule: ribosomal RNA, 500 nt
Filed under: uncultured bacterium
Lineage: Bacteria
Description: partial 16S ribosomal RNA
Rfam family: Bacterial small subunit ribosomal RNA
Source: RNAcentral